RNAcentral lists this transfer RNA (70 nucleotides) under Camelus bactrianus (Bactrian camel). It matches the Rfam family "tRNA". From Rfam's summary of the family: Transfer RNA (tRNA) molecules are approximately 80 nucleotides in length. The record is from Rfam by way of RNAcentral. Lineage: Eukaryota; Metazoa; Chordata; Mammalia; Artiodactyla; Camelidae. RNAcentral also lists the same sequence under 1 other name.
AGGUAAAUAGCUCAGUAGUAGAGCUCAUGCUUAGCAUUCAUGAGGUCCUGGGUUCAAUCCCCAGAACCUC